CGACUGGUCGCGUGGGCGGUGCUCGAGCGAGGAGGGGGAUGGCGGAGGUGAAGGGCGUCGCUCAAACUGGGAUCUCUCCAAUAAUCAUGGAUACCACCAGGAAGGUGCCAGUAAUUCGCAAAUCCCUCAAACCAGCAAGACCAUUACAUCGUUUAUCUACUGAACUAGAUUCUGCUGUAUGCAUUGAUUACCUACCACCGGUUUUACAUCAAAAUGAAGUUUCAUGGAAUGAAGAGAACUGGACCAUUUCAAGUGGAUAUGCACAACGGGAAACCAAGUGGAGUGAUGUUCCGACCUUUAGAAGCAAGCAAGAUCUUAAAGGACAGGAACGACCAAUAGAAAGACGUCAUUCUGGUCAGGGAGAUGGCACAAAGAAGGAUGCAGAGAGGAUUACUUACAGCAGAGAAUUCCUGAUGAAAAUUGCUAGCCUGCCUAUUUCAAAAGAGAAACCGGAGUUUUUGCCAUCUCUUCCUGUGGUAUUAGAGAGGCCAGAUGUAGAUGUCGCUGACAAGGACAGCAUUUGUUACCCAUCAAUGGCUUGUUAGGCCAUUCAGAAGGCGGUUAAGAGUCAACCACAUUACUGUGGAUCCGGAGGCCAGAAUAGAGAGAGAGGUUGUAUGGAAGUGGACGGGGUUUAUGUUUUGCUUACCAAAAGAUGGCUACCAAUCAUCAUGGAAUUGCUGGC
Molecule: RNA transcript, 685 nt
Organism: Hemiscyllium ocellatum (epaulette shark)
Lineage: Eukaryota; Metazoa; Chordata; Chondrichthyes; Orectolobiformes; Hemiscylliidae
Gene: gra
Gene name: granulito
Exons: 7
Source: RefSeq, a predicted model, not a curated record